GUGGGGAAUAUUGGACAAUGGGGGAAACCCUGAUCCAGCGACGCCGCGUGUGUGAAGAAGGCCUGCGGGUUGUAAAGCACUUUCGGUGGGAACGAAAUGUGCCGACCUAAUACGUCGGUAAGCUGACGUUACUCAAUGAAGAAGCACCGGCUAACUCUGUGCCAGCAGCCGCGGUAAUACAGAGGGUGCAAGCGUUAAUCGGAAUUACUGGGCGUAAAGCGCACGUAGGCGGCUAUAUAAGUCGGAUGUGAAAUCCCCGGGCUUAACCUGGGAACCGCAUUCGAGACUGCAUAGCUAGAGUACUGGAGAGGACAGCGGAAUUCCCGGUGUAGCGGUGAAAUGCGUAGAUAUCGGGAGGAACAUCAGUGGCGAAGGCGGCUGUCUGGCCAAGUACUGACGCUCAGGUGCGAAAGCGUGGGGAGCAAACAGGAUUAGAAACCCCAGUAGUCC
Molecule: ribosomal RNA, 450 nt
Filed under: uncultured bacterium
Lineage: Bacteria
Description: bacterial SSU rRNA
Rfam family: Bacterial small subunit ribosomal RNA
Source: RNAcentral